RNAcentral lists this transfer RNA (56 nucleotides) under Acinetobacter baumannii. RNAcentral's name for it is "tRNA-Lys". It matches the Rfam family "tRNA", at positions 8 to 61 of the family's 71-position model. From Rfam's summary of the family: Transfer RNA (tRNA) molecules are approximately 80 nucleotides in length. Their secondary structure includes four short double-helical elements and three loops (D, anti-codon, and T loops). Further hydrogen bonds mediate the characteristic L-shaped molecular structure. tRNAs have two regions of fundamental functional importance: the anti-codon, which is responsible for specific mRNA codon recognition, and the 3' end, to which the tRNAs corresponding amino acid is attached (by aminoacyl-tRNA synthetases). tRNAs cope with the degeneracy of the genetic code in two manners: having more than one tRNA (with a specific anti-codon) for a particular amino acid; and 'wobble' base-pairing, i.e. permitting non-standard base-pairing at the 3rd anti-codon position. Lineage: Bacteria; Pseudomonadati; Pseudomonadota; Gammaproteobacteria; Moraxellales; Moraxellaceae. The record is from RNAcentral.
UAGCUCAGUUGGUAGAGCAGCGGACUUUUAAUCCGUUGGUCCCGCGUUCGAGUCGC